GGCUGGCCCUGGAUGCGGUCAAGAAACCUGCAGCGGCGGCGCCCAUCGACCAUCAGCACAGCGGCAGGCUUUGAAGGAUCUGCAAUGAGCUCGAGUAGGGAUUGUUCCGUUCAUCUUUGGUGACUGUGCCUACCUGCAGCAUCCUCUGUAUUUCUAUCAAUGGGUGAUUUUCAGAAUAUAGUCAGGCCUAAUAUUGGAUGAAUUGGAUGGGGCGAUGUCGGGUGGGAGCAGGUCCUGGAGCGCGUCCGCGAGAUGGGCGGCGGCAUGGAG
This is a long non-coding RNA of Lolium rigidum, 270 nucleotides long. RefSeq lists it as uncharacterized. NCBI's taxonomy places the organism in Eukaryota, Viridiplantae, Streptophyta, Magnoliopsida, Poales, Poaceae. The transcript has 3 exons. The record is from RefSeq and is a predicted model, not a curated record.